This 3260-nucleotide long non-coding RNA is filed under the name Homo sapiens (human). RNAcentral describes it as "HSALNT0020593". The record is from RNAcentral. Lineage: Eukaryota; Metazoa; Chordata; Mammalia; Primates; Hominidae.
GAAACGCAGUAGGAGGAGUGACGGGAACCGGGAGCCGGCUCCAUGCGCCUGGAGCGCGCGGGUCCCAGCGCCCAUCGGCCCGGGGUCCGAGGGGCCCGCUGCCCGGGCUCGCUGCGUGGUGCUACCGCCCCCGGGCCCGCUGCGCCGCGUCGGAGCCCCAGCAGACUUUGAGAGGCGUGUGCGACAGUGCGCGUCCUCUCCUGCCUCUGGAUGUUUCCUUGGAGCCUCUGGCCUUCGGGAAGACCGGUGCCAUCCAGAUUCCAACAGUGACUUUUAGCUCUGAGAAGUCCAAUACUACAGCCCUGGCUGAGUUCGGAAAAUACAUUCAUAAAGCCUGAUGGCCUGGUGUUGGGCCUGAUCACCCCAAAAUUUCAGGCACCCAACGUGGGGCUAUGAAGACCAUGGUAAAGAAAUGCUAGAGUAUAUGGAAAUGAAGGACAUAUCAUCAAAGGACACCCGAGGAUGGCUGAAAGAAGCUUGGUGGUGCCACUGGGUUAGAGUCUCCCCGACCAAGCUGGUCUCAGCAAGUGGUCUCCAUCAUGGGGGCUCGAAUCCAGGUUGAAGGGUCACCAGAGUGAUGGUUGGAGAACAUGGAACUAGCUGGAGGACACCUGAGUACUCUUAAAGCAAACCCCGUGUUAAUUGAAAAUGCUCAGUUACGAUUUCAUACAGAUGAACAACUGAAGACAAAAACAACAAAGGGGGAGAAAGAGGGAUUAUGGGACAGCCCAUAUACAAUUGAAUCUAGCAUUAUUAACUUUAAAUUUUUUGAGUCUGCCUAAAGGCCAGAUGUUAUCAGCAGCUGAACAGCAUUUACAGAAACCGGCUGCAAAGACAGAAGCAGAACAACUGGUUUGGUGGAGAGAUCCGAUAACAAAAAGUUGGGAAAUAGGUAAAAUAAUAACUUGGGGUAGAGGUUAUGUUUGUGUUUCUCCAGGCCAAAAUCAAUAACCAAUUUGGAUACCAUCAAGACACCUGAAACCUUAUCAUGAGCCAGAUGCUGAGGAAGAGAUUCCAGGAGGAUCCUGAGGACCCCCUGGUUGCAGCCACGUCGAGGCUGACACUGAGGAGGACCCCAACUGUCAUGAGCAACACCCGUCGAACACAGCCAUCCACCUGGGGACAAAUCAAGAAGCUGUCACAGAUGAUGGAAGAAAACCUGAGGAAAGCGGGACAACCAAUCACAAUGAGUAAUUUGGUGAUCUAUCACAGUGAUGAUCACCAUUGCCAUGAGUAUUCCUUCAACAAGGGCUGACACAGAGAACAAUUAUACUUAUUGGGCAUAUUUAUCAAUCUUGUCUGGCAAUAAUGCCUAGAUGAUUUCACUCUAUGGCACAGUUACACAUGCUUUCUGAUCUCAGUAUUUACCAUAAUAAAUCUGCUCCUAUAAUUGAGGCAUACCACCCUCAAAAACCUAUUUGUAAACAAAAUAGAACCUGGCCAGAAAUAAUGAACAACUUGUUUAGUAAGAUUGCAUUGCAGAACAGGCAGAGAUGCUACGCAAUGAUUCCUAUGGGAUCAUUGAUUGGUCCCCUAAGGGGAUGUUUAGCUUAAAUUGCACCUCUCAGUCUGCAUGCCAUGGCCACACUAGUUCAGAUGGUCUGAACAAAGUGGUCAGAUGGCAGAAAUGAUAAGAAGUAUGGCAAAAGUUCCUAUUGUCUGGAACCAUGGCAGUAUAGUGUCACCUCAACCUCAAAUGAUAUGGCUCAUUGUAGGAGCUAAACAUAAGGAUUUGUGGAAACUAUUAAUAGCUCUUAAUAAGAUCAAAAUUUGGGAAAGAAUAAAAAAAGCAUCUAGAAAGACACUCUACAAACUUGUCUUUGGAUAUUACAAAAUUAAAAGAACAAAUAUUUAAAGCAUCCCAGGUACACCUGACCUUAAUGACAGAAACUGGAGUGCUUGAAGGAGCUGCAGACAGAUUAGCAGCUAGUAACCCAUUAAAAUGGAUAAAAACACUUGGAAGCUCUGUGAUUUCAAUGAUGAUUGUGCUUUUAAUCGGUAUUGUUUGUCUUUGUAUAGUGUGCAGAUGUGGAUCCUGACUCCUGUGAGAAGUAGCUCACAGUGUCAAAGCUGCCUUUGCUUUUAUCGAUUUGCAAAUCAAAUAAGGGGGACAUAUUGGGAACAGCACCCCCCCCCCCAAAAUCUGGCCAUAAACUGGUCCCAAAACUGGCCAUAAACAAAAUCUCUGCAGCACUGACAUGUUCAUGAUGGUCUUAAUGCCCACGCUGGAAGGUUGUGGGUUUACCAGAAUGAGAGCAAGGAACACCUGGCCCACCCAGGGUGGAAAACCACUUAAAGGCAUUCUUAAACCACAAACAAUAGCAUGAGUGAUCUGUGCCUUAAGGCUGUGCUACUGCUGCAGAUAACUAGCCCAACCCAUCCCUUUAUUUCAGCCCAUCCCUUCGUUUCCCAUAAGGGAUACUUUUAAUUAAUCUAAUAUGUAUAGAAAGAAUGCUAAUGACUGGCUUGCUGUUAAUAAAUAACGUGGGUAAAUCUCUGUUGGAGGCUCUCAGCUCUGAAGGCUGUGAGACCCCGGAUUUCCCACUUCACACCUCUGUAUUUCUGUGUGUCUGUCUUUAAUUCCUUUAGCACCACUGGGUUAGGGUCUCCCCGACCGAGCUGGUCUUUGCACUUCUCACUUCUGGAUAUAGGCCUCCCUAGAGGGUUUUUUUUUUCUUUUUUGAUAGGAUCUUGCUCUUUCAUCCAGGCUGGUGUGCUGUAGUGUAUUCAUGGCUUGCUGCAGUCUUGAUCUCCCAGACUCAAGUAAUCCUCCCAUCUCAGCCUCCUGAAUAGCUAGGACCACAGGCCUGUGCCACCAUGUCUGGCUACUUUAAUUUUUUUUCCCUUAGAGACAGAGUCUCACUAUGUUGCCCAGGCUGGUCUCACAUUCCUGCACUCGUCAUCUUCCUGCCUUGGCCUUCCAAAGUGCUGAGAUUACAGGCAUGAAACACUACACCUGGCCAUCCCUGGAGUAUUUCUUCCUUCCUUCCUUCCUUGCUUCCUUCCUUCCUUUUUUCUUUUCCUCCCUCCCUCUCUCUUUCUUUCUUUGUUUCUUUUUCUCCCUUUCUUCCUUUCUUUCUUUCUUUUCUUUCUUUCUUCCUUCCUUUCUUUUUCUUUCUCUCUUUCUUUCUUCUUUCCUUCCUCCUUCCCUCCUUCCCUCCCCUCCCUCCCCCUCCCCUCCCUUCCUUCCUUCCUUCUUUCCUUCCUUCCUUCCUUUCUUCCUUCCUUCUUUCCUGUCUUAUUUCAAAACACAUGUCUUC